UCCGUAGGUGAACCUGCGGAGGGAUCAUUGCUGGAACGCGCCCCAGGCGCACCCAGCAAACCCUUUGUGAACUUAUACCUUUUGUUGCCUCGGCGCAUGCUGGCCUCUAGUAGGCCCCUCACCCCGGUGAGGAGAAGGCACGCCGGCGGCCAAGUUAACUCUUGUUUUUACACUGAAACUCUGAGAAAAAAACACAAAUGAAUCAAAACUUUCAACAACGGAUCUCUUGGUUCUGGCAUCGAUGAAGAACGCAGCGAAAUGCGAUAAGUAAUGUGAAUUGCAGAAUUCAGUGAAUCAUCGAAUCUUUGAACGCACAUUGCGCCCUCUGGUAUUCCGGAGGGCAUGCCUGUUCGAGCGUCAUUUCAACCCUCAAGCAUUGCUUGGUGUUGGGGCACUGCUUCUAACGAAGCAGGCCCUGAAAUCUAGUGGCGAGCUCGCCAGGACCCCGAGCGCAGUAGUUAAACCCUCGCUCUGGAAGGCCCUGGCGGUGCCCUGCCGUUAAACCCCCAACUUCUGAAAAUUUGACCUCGGAUCAGGUAGGAAUACCCGCUGAACUUAAGCAUAUCAAUAAGCGGAGGAA
Molecule: ribosomal RNA, 580 nt
Filed under: Diaporthe phaseolorum
Lineage: Eukaryota; Fungi; Ascomycota; Sordariomycetes; Diaporthales; Diaporthaceae
Description: eukaryotic LSU rRNA
Rfam family: 5.8S ribosomal RNA (bases 207-360)
Source: RNAcentral